Molecule: ribosomal RNA, 433 nt
Filed under: uncultured bacterium
Lineage: Bacteria
Description: partial 16S ribosomal RNA
Rfam family: Bacterial small subunit ribosomal RNA
Source: RNAcentral
AACGAACGCUGGCGGCAUGCCUAACACAUGCAAGUCGAACGAGACCUCCGGGUCUAGUGGCGCACGGGUGCGUAACGCGUGGGAACCUGCCUUUAGGUUCGGAAUAACUCAGAGAAAUAUGAGCUAAUACCGGAUGAUGUCUUCGGACCAAAGAUUUAUCGCCUUUAGAUGGGCCCGCGUUGGAUUAGCUAGUUGGUGGGGUAAAGGCCUACCAAGGCGACGAUCCAUAGCUGGUCUGAGAGGAUGAUCAGCCACACUGGGACUGAGACACGGCCCAGACUCCUACGGGAGGCAGCAGUGGGGAAUAUUGGACAAGGGGCGAAAGCCUGAUCCAGCAAUGCCGCGUGAGUGAUGAAGGCCUUAGGGUUGUAAAGCUCUUUUACCCGAGAUGAUAAUGACAGUAUCGGGAGAAUAAGCUCCGGCUAACUCCGUG